AGAUAAACAAGAUGAGAAGACAAGGAAGCGCUGGAAUCCGUACAGCCUUCCCACCUGUCCAGACCCAUUCAAGAAAAUCUGAUGCAGAGUGACUGUGUGUGAUUUCAGGUUUCUGACAUCAGCCGAGUUAAGAAGACCAAGAACCAGGUAGAAAAAGACAAGACACUGUGGGUCAUAAAAGUUUAAAUGCCCAUCUGAACAGGUUAUUGCCAACAAAUGUUCUGAUAUGUGAAUGAAAGUACAGCACGGCGGGAGACUCAUGUGACAAAAACAUUUUAGACUUCACUCAUCCAGGCACUUGCCCCUGCUGUCUUAACCUGGAUGUUACCUUGGCAGACUCGUUGAAUUUUUCCUGCUCUGGUCUGCUGUGCAACUCGUAGAGCACCACUCCAUCUGGACCCUUUGUUGAGGAAGAGGUUUUGCCAUCUCCUGCAGGGCUGCCACGACUGCCCUUCACCGCCUCCAGCUGGGUGAGCAGACGCCUGCAGGCAGGAGGGAGAGGGAAACAGACUGAUUAUACAGUGUAGUCGAAGCAGUUAUCAGCCCCAUGUGCUGUCUGUCUUUCUCCCCAAUGGGUCUAAACUGCAGCUUGAAGCAGCUCACUUUGAACACGCUUGACAGUCGUAUGUAAAUAAGGAAGCUGUCCUGUCACACUGCCUUCAUCUCACCUGGCAAGCGCUCCAUCUGGAUCAGCCAGGUUGAUGUGAGCCUGUGGUCCCAGCAACGAAUCCAGAUGGGCAGAUACCAGCUGCUGUUUGAGCUGCGCUGCAUGCUGAGCUAGUACCACCGGGGUGAGGCGCUCCUCUGCAUUGCUGUCCUUUGCAGCAGCCUAGAAAGUGAAAUUGGUGAUGAAAUUAAAGAGUCCAUCAAUGAAAAUAAUUUUUAUGUCAGGUUACAACAACUACACAACAAGGUCAUUGUUUUAUUUCACUAAAUCCUGAUCUUACGUCCUGGCUAACUACAUUUUGAUCUGUUUUGGAGUAACAGGGCAGCUUAAACUGGAGCUCAAAACUGAUAUGUCACCAACUUAAUUGAUUUAGAACUUUAACUUCUGUUUAUAGCAACUCUUACAGGCAAUGUUGUGUUCCUCUUUUCUUUAUAUACAUUUUUACUAUAUUUAGUGGAAGUGUUUUUGAUACAAUUAAUGUUGAUAAACAGUUAACACUUCUAUAGAAGAGUUUUUCAAAGAAGUUGCAUAAAAUAUUUGGGGUUUCUAAAUAAAGCUAAAUGACUAAAUAUGAACCAAUCUGAUGACCAAAUAACCUAGAUAGUAGAUUAAACAGAAAAAUAUGUGCUAAUGUGCUCAUAUGUUUGUUUAUAAAAUGGAGGAGCAAAAAGGGUUUUUGAAUCGAAAGCUUUAUUUAUUCUGUCAAUAUAUGGUUUUUCGAUUGAAAUGUGUGAACCCUGUUUUUAACUAUUAAAAAUGUUGAUCGCGUCCCACCACUAGAAAGAAUACUUGCAGCCUCUUAAGACAGCUCAAACUGUAAUUGAUUAUUGGGGGAACAGAGUAGCUUUAGUGUGUUUUAUUAGUAGCUGCCUAAUGGAAACUUCGUUAGUAAGUGACAAUAGAGAUAAAUUUUUUGCUAAGCUCAAUUACAGGGUCAGCUUGAAGCUUCAUUACAUCCAUAUCCAAACCUUUAAAUACCAUUAGAUAGAA
This is a long non-coding RNA of Cyprinodon tularosa, 1657 nucleotides long. RefSeq lists it as uncharacterized. NCBI's taxonomy places the organism in Eukaryota, Metazoa, Chordata, Actinopteri, Cyprinodontiformes, Cyprinodontidae. The record is from RefSeq and is a predicted model, not a curated record. The transcript has 5 exons.